GUUUGAUCCUGGCUCAGGAUGAACGCUAGCUACAGGCUUAACACAUGCAAGUCGAGGGGCAGCAUGGUCUUAGCUUGCUAAGGCCGAUGGCGACCGGCGCACGGGUGAGUAACACGUAUCCAACCUGCCGUCUACUCUUGGACAGCCUUCUGAAAGGAAGAUUAAUACAAGAUGGCAUCAUGAGUCCGCAUGUUCACAUGAUUAAAGGUAUUCCGGUAGACGAUGGGGAUGCGUUCCAUUAGAUAGUAGGCGGGGUAACGGCCCACCUAGUCUUCGAUGGAUAGGGGUUCUGAGAGGAAGGUCCCCCACAUUGGAACUGAGACACGGUCCAAACUCCUACGGGAGGCAGCAGUGAGGAAUAUUGGUCAAUGGGCGAGAGCCUGAACCAGCCAAGUAGCGUGAAGGAUGACUGCCCUAUGGGUUGUAAACUUCUUUUAUAAAGGAAUAAAGUCGGGUAUGCAUACCCGUUUGCAUGUACUUUAUGAAUAAGGAUCGGCUAACUCCGUGCCAGCAGCCGCGGUAAUACGGAGGAUCCGAGCGUUAUCCGGAUUUAUUGGGUUUAAAGGGAGCGUAGAUGGAUGUUUAAGUCAGUUGUGAAAGUUUGCGGCUCAACCGUAAAAUUGCAGUUGAUACUGGAUAUCUUGAGUGCAGUUGAGGCAGGCGGAAUUCGUGGUGUAGCGGUGAAAUGCUUAGAUAUCACGAAGAACUCCGAUUGCGAAGGCAGCCUGCUAAGCUGCAACUGACAUUGAGGCUCGAAAGUGUGGGUAUCAAACAGGAUUAGAUACCCUGGUAGUCCACACGGUAAACGAUGAAUACUCGCUGUUUGCGAUAUACUGCAAGCGGCCAAGCGAAAGCGUUAAGUAUUCCACCUGGGGAGUACGCCGGCAACGGUGAAACUCAAAGGAAUUGACGGGGGCCCGCACAAGCGGAGGAACAUGUGGUUUAAUUCGAUGAUACGCGAGGAACCUUACCCGGGCUUAAAUUGCAGAUGAAUUACGGUGAAAGCCGUAAGCCGCAAGGCAUCUGUGAAGGUGCUGCAUGGUUGUCGUCAGCUCGUGCCGUGAGGUGUCGGCUUAAGUGCCAUAACGAGCGCAACCCUUGUUGUCAGUUACUAACAGGUUCCGCUGAGGACUCUGACAAGACUGCCAUCGUAAGAUGUGAGGAAGGUGGGGAUGACGUCAAAUCAGCACGGCCCUUACGUCCGGGGCUACGCACGUGUUACAAUGGGGGGUACAGAGGGCCGCUACCACGCGAGUGGAUGCCAAUCCCCAAAACCUCUCUCAGUUCGGACUGGAGUCUGCAACCCGACUCCACGAAGCUGGAUUCGCUAGUAAUCGCGCAUCAGCCACGGCGCGGUGAAUACGUUCCCGGGCCUUGUACACACCGCCCGUCAAGCCAUGGGAGCCGGGGGUACCUGAAGUGCGUAACCGCGAGGAGCGCCCUAGGGUAAAACUGGUGACUGGGGCUAAGUCGUAACAAGGUAACC
This 1486-nucleotide ribosomal RNA is filed under the name uncultured bacterium. RNAcentral's name for it is "16S ribosomal RNA". It matches the Rfam family "Bacterial small subunit ribosomal RNA". The record is from RNAcentral.